GAUGGUAUAGCUCAAGCGGUAGAGCAGCAAUUUCAUAUGUUGCGGGUUGCAGGUUCAAGUCCUGCUACCAUCAC
Molecule: transfer RNA, 74 nt
Filed under: Reticulibacter mediterranei
Lineage: Bacteria; Bacillati; Chloroflexota; Ktedonobacteria; Ktedonobacterales; Reticulibacteraceae
Description: tRNA-Met
Rfam family: tRNA
About the family: Transfer RNA (tRNA) molecules are approximately 80 nucleotides in length.
Source: RNAcentral